Molecule: long non-coding RNA, 1241 nt
Organism: Tyto alba (common barn owl)
Lineage: Eukaryota; Metazoa; Chordata; Aves; Strigiformes; Tytonidae
Exons: 7
Source: RefSeq, a predicted model, not a curated record
GUCUGUGUGCGCCGCUCCUCAAGGACGGGCUUUUGGGGAGGGGAAGCAGCAGCAGCCCCGCUGCUCGGAGCAGCGAACCCAGACGUCCCGUCGCCUGCCCGGUGCCGCUGCCGCAAGGGUCACGGAGGGGACCGUCCCGCGGGGACUGUGCCGACGGCUCGGGGCCUGUGUCUCUCCGGGGAAAGGACUUUCCAGAGAAACAAAUCGAGAAAAAAUAACUGGUUUGUCUUCCUUCCACCCAGCGUCAGUUUUUGGUGGCCGUGCGUAGGGACUGCAGCGCGGCGUAAAGUGCUGUGUAGGAUGGAGGCUGCUCUGGUUGCUGGUGCUCCCGCUGACAGCUAGCUGCUGGAAAUGUCACAGGAUUAAUUUCAGAAUCCUCUGAGGUGCCUGUUGGCUUUGUCCAGAAUCAUUACUCAUUCUCUGCUACGUACACAAGCCUAUUAAAACACGAACUCUAGCCAGAGCUACCCGAUGGUGUGGCCGCGGACGCUGAGCCCUCUGCCCGCCCAGCCUCGCUCACCUUCCUUCCGCUGGUACCUCUGCCCACAUUCUCCAUCUUCGUGACAGUUUGUCUCAUAAAUGCAUUCAGGCAUCAUCAGCACAGCUCCUCACUACUGCUCCGAUACCAGAAAACAGGCUCUGCUUCUCAUUCAUGAGCUGAUCCUUUGCACGUCGCUGCUUCUUUCCAAAGCUGGCCUCCUGUUUCAGAAGUCUACAUAUUCACAUAUUCAGCUGUGUCAGGCACUUCUGUAAACUUCUUCACUGAGCUAUGAAACGACUCCUGCUUCAGUUCACAAAGGAUGGAUGAAGAAUGUAAUGACAAAAUACAGCUGGUGAGUUAGGGGCAUCCAGAAACCUCUAGGUUAAGUGAUAAGAAGCAGCACAAAUUCAAAAGGAACAAACUGAUCACCUGCUGCCUCCUCAAGCCUUCCAACCAGUGUCACUCCCUGAAUACUACCUGCUUCCUGUGGAAGUACCUACCCGUUGUUCCCCUAUGGAGGGGAAAACAGCUAUUGAACAUUUCCCUUUGAAGAAGAAAAGAUCAUUUCACAUCUAUUCUGUGAUGAGCUACAGCAAGAGUUAUUGCCACCAGCCUGGAUACAUUAAUACUGCAGCUAAUCUACGUAUCUUUCAAUGUUUUAUAGCUUCUUAACUCUGACACUUAGGACAGCAUAUUAAUAAACUCACUAAAAAAGCCUAUUGGAAAUCUUUCACAUUCUUAUCUUGAUUUGUGAUGUAUU